UUAAACACAGUAAUUUCAGAGCCAGGGAGUUUUAUUCCCCUCUGGCAUUUACUCUGCCAUUGACAAGACAUGGCGCUGCUUAGGAUGCUGGAAGCAAGGCGUCCUCUCUCCACAUUCUCCAACCUGCAGCUCCUGGGCAGACACAAGUUCCUCUGUCUCUCCUCUGUCCUCUCACUGGGGACUCUAAUCCAGAACAGCUCUCUGCUCCCCACAGGCUCAGCAGUUUACCUUCAGGCACAGGGCCAUCUGCUGGCCAAACGCAGCGAUCAUGUGACAGCACGUGUGCCUUCAAACCAGGGCUACUUUACUAAUACAGACCCAACUAACAAGUUUUAUUAAAACAGUAAGUGACUGUCAGAGAGGUACAAAUCAGGAAAUUGAUCUGUUUCCUGAUGUCAUUUUGGUUUUAAGUUCCAUAGAGACAAGAAAGAAAGAGAAGGAUAUGCUGAAGAAUAAGCACAAAUUUUGGCUACACAGGCAGAACUGAGUAAUUGCUUAAAGGAAAACUCGGCAUACUCAUUUUCAUUAUCUAACAUUUGUCAUGUGGCUUCUGGGUCCCAAGCACUUUCAUCUGUAAGGCAGAAAAUCAGAAGCUUUAAGCAAAGAAACUUACACUGAGCCACACACUAGCAAGUGCAGUGGUAAAGGUUAGACCGCCCGCCCAGCUUAGUGAGCCGGGCCCUUGCAACUCCUCGGCUCCCUGCUCUGUCCUCAGCUGUGCUCUGCUGUCCUCUGCUGUCCUCUGCCAGCAAUGAACACUAAAAUGCAUGGACUUCUAGAGCUUUCACCCUGUGGCAGAAAACAUCUGGAUGCUAUUUCAACAUGAAGGGCCUUUCUUUUCCUAUAAAAGCUUCCAGCUUCUCAUGGUUCAUAGCAAGAAAAGGCCUUACUACAAAGUUGUUGACUAUAACAGAAAGAUUUUCAGAUUCACUGCUGUGAUUCUUUUGUAUUUUUAUCAACAGGCAUUAGCAUAACAUUUUUCAAAUUUAUAUCCACAGAAUUAAAAAAGUUUCCCCCCCUUUAUUAUAAAGCAAUAGCUGUUCAAGGUUGAAAACACAGCGUGCUGAAAAAUAGACAUUACUUCUCAUUGUUCAACUAGAACAUGUGACUUGCUUUUACAUAGCUGGAGUUGCACAAGAAUGUAUUCCAUUUUUUGUGGGUUUGUUUUUUGGUACCGGGGAUCGAACUUGGGUCCUUGAGCUUGUGAGGCAGGUGGUGGAACCACUGAGCUAAAUCCCCGGCCCAAUAUUCCAUUUUUUCCAUUAACAUUAUAUUUAUUU
RNAcentral lists this long non-coding RNA (1280 nucleotides) under Heterocephalus glaber (naked mole-rat). Its description in RNAcentral is "lncRNA (ENSHGLG00100050476.1)". The record is from RNAcentral. Lineage: Eukaryota; Metazoa; Chordata; Mammalia; Rodentia; Bathyergidae.